Molecule: non-coding RNA, 58 nt
Organism: Mesocricetus auratus (golden hamster)
Lineage: Eukaryota; Metazoa; Chordata; Mammalia; Rodentia; Cricetidae
Source: Rfam
UGGCUCAGUGGUUAAGAGCACUGUCUGCUCUUCCAGAGGACCUGGGUUCAAUUCCCAG